GAACUGGAUAAACAAGUAUCUCAAUGACAUUCCUUCUGUGGUUGUUGUGUUCUAUGAUUUAGACUGGAAUGAUCCUUUGUGAAAUGAGAAAAAGAUGGAAUGUGCGUCUAGAGUGCAAUCUUUAAGAGCUGCUCUCGAUGGAAGAAGUACAAAAAUAGCUGUAGUGUUGAUACAACAUGCCGUUCAACUGCUUCCUGGUGCCAAAGACGUAGUCGCGACUGAGCGCGCAACAGCGGAGCUUGUGAUUUAACAGCAAAGCUUUUGUACAUCUGCCACAUGCUGAUCACUUACUGGGAUAUAUAUCGAGGCUAGAGACGACGUUCUACGAUUUGGCACAAAACCUUUAUCAUCACGAAUAUCAAAAUGUUAAAAGUCAUCGCGAUCAGUUCAGAAUGUUCAUCAAUACUUAUUUG
Molecule: long non-coding RNA, 413 nt
Organism: Wasmannia auropunctata (little fire ant)
Lineage: Eukaryota; Metazoa; Arthropoda; Insecta; Hymenoptera; Formicidae
Exons: 3
Source: RefSeq, a predicted model, not a curated record